UCAAAUCAGGUAGGAAUACCCGCUGAACUUAAGCAUAUCAAUAAGCGGAGGAAAAGAAACCAACCGGGAUUGCCUCAGUAACGGCGAGUGAAGCGGCAAAAGCUCAAAUUUGAAAUCUGGCGUCUUCGGCGUCCGAGUUGUAAUUUGAAGAAGGUAACUUUGGGGCUGGUCCUUGUCUAUGUUCCUUGGAACAGGACGUCAUAGAGGGUGAGAAUCCCGUGUGGCGAGGAUCCCAGUCCUUUGUAAAGUGCUUUCGACGAGUCGAGUUGUUUGGGAAUGCAGCUCUAAGUGGGUGGUAAAUUCCAUCUAAAGCUAAAUAUUGGCGAGAGACCGAUAGCGAACAAGUACAGUGAUGGAAAGAUGAAAAGAACUUUGAAAAGAGAGUGAAAAAGUACGUGAAAUUGUUGAAAGGGAAGGGCAUUUGAUCAGACAUGGCGUUUGCUUCGGCUUUCGCUGGGCCAGCAUCAGUUUUGGCGGUUGGAUAAAUCCUCGGGAAUGUGGCUCUACUUGUAGAGUGUUAUAGCCCGUGGGAAUACAGCCAGCUGGGACUGAGGACUGCGACUUUGUCAAGGAUGCGGCA
RNAcentral lists this ribosomal RNA (580 nucleotides) under Kluyveromyces nonfermentans. Its description in RNAcentral is "LSU rRNA". It matches the Rfam family "Eukaryotic large subunit ribosomal RNA", at positions 1 to 630 of the family's 3401-position model. Lineage: Eukaryota; Fungi; Ascomycota; Saccharomycetes; Saccharomycetales; Saccharomycetaceae. The record is from RNAcentral.